UGGGCAACCUGCCCCUCUCUCUGGGAUAACCCCGGGAAACCGGAGCUAAUACCGGAUACUCCGGCUGGAUCGCAUGGUCCGGCCGGGAAAGGUCCGCCGGAGAGGGAUGGGCCCGCGGCCUAUCAGCUUGUUGGUGGGGUCAUGGCUCACCAAGGCGACGACGGGUAGCUGGUCUGAGAGGGCGACCGCACACUGGGUACGUAGAGACGACGGCCCGACGACUCCUACCGGGAGGGCA
This 238-nucleotide ribosomal RNA is filed under the name uncultured bacterium. Its description in RNAcentral is "partial 16S ribosomal RNA". It matches the Rfam family "Bacterial small subunit ribosomal RNA", at positions 118 to 348 of the family's 1533-position model. The record is from RNAcentral.